Molecule: ribosomal RNA, 253 nt
Filed under: uncultured bacterium
Lineage: Bacteria
Description: partial 16S ribosomal RNA
Rfam family: Bacterial small subunit ribosomal RNA
Source: RNAcentral
UACGGGGGGGGCAAGCGUUGUUCGGAAUUACUGGGCGUAAAGGGCUCGUAGGCGGCCAACUAAGUCAGACGUGAAAUCCCUCGGCUUAACCGGGGAACUGCGUCUGAUACUGGAUGGCUUGAGUUCGGGAGAGGGAUGCGGAAUUCCAGGUGUAGCGGUGAAAUGCGUAGAUAUCUGGAGGAACACCGGUGGCGAAGGCGGCAUCCUGGACCAAUAUUGACGCUGAGGAGCGAAAGCUAGGGGAGCAAACGGG